RNAcentral lists this long non-coding RNA (2116 nucleotides) under Phasianus colchicus (ring-necked pheasant). Its description in RNAcentral is "lncRNA (ENSPCLG00000013705.1)". Lineage: Eukaryota; Metazoa; Chordata; Aves; Galliformes; Phasianidae. The record is from RNAcentral.
GGUUCCGUGUCACCUGGGUUCUGUAUCACCUGGGUUCCGUGUCACCCAGGUUCCAUGUCACCCGGGUUCCGUGUCACCUGGGUUCCGUGUCACCUGAAUUCUGUGUCACCUGGGUUCCGUGUAACCUGGGUUCUGUAUCACCUGGGUUCCGUGUCACCUGGGUUCUGUGUCACCAGGGUUCCAUAUCACCCGGGUUCCGUGUCACCUGGGUUCCCAUGUCACCUGGGUUCUGUGCCAAAUGGGUUUUGUGUCGCCUGGGUUCCGUGUCACCCAGGUUCCAUUCACUGUGUCACCUGUGUUCCGUGUCACCUGGGUUCCGUGUCACCUGGGUUCCGUGUCACUGUCACCUGUGUUUUGUGUCACCUGGAUUCCGUGUCUCCUGGGUUCCAUGUCACUGUGCCAAAUGAGUUCCGGGUCACCCAGGUUCCGUGUCACCUGGGUUCCAUAUCACCUGGGUUCCAUGUCACCCAGGUUCUGUGUCACUGUGUCACCUGGGUUCUGUGCCAAAUGGGUUCCAUGUCACCCAAGUUCCGCGUCACCAGGCUCUGUGUCACCUGGGUUCCGUGUCACCUGGGUUCCAUGUCACCCGGGUUCCAUGUCACUGUGUCACCUGGGUUCUGUGCCAAAUGGGUUCCAUGUCACUGUGUCACCUGGGUUCUGUGUCACCUGGGUUCCACGUUACUCUGUCACCUGGGUUUCAUGUCACUCAGGUUCUGUGUCACUGGGCUCUGUGUCACCUGGAUUCUGUGUCACCUGGGUUCCAUGUCACUGUGUCACCUAGGUUCCAUGUCACCCGGGCUCCAUGUCACCUGGCAGCUCCACGUCACCAUGGCACUGGGACUCAACAUCACCUGGGCUCCAUGUCACCAUGUCACCUGGCAGCUCCAUGUCACCGUGUCACCUGGGUUCCACAUCACCUGGGCUCCAUGUCACCAUGCCACUGGUGCUCAACAUCAGCCAGGCUCAGUGACACCCGUGGGCUCCAUGUCACCAGGGCGUCGUGUCACUGUGUCACCCGGGCUCCACCUCACCACCAGACUCACCCUCAGGCUUCAUCCCCACUGCCAUCACCGUCCUCAUCCUCAUCCCCAUCGCCGUCCCCAGGCCCUGGGGUGACAUGCAGCUCUCCGUGGGGCCCAAAGCUCAGCCUCCAGCCCCGUGGGGCCGCUCCGGGCAGGACGAGGCGGACGUUCACCUUCAGUGGGAUCCCAGGUGUGGGUCGCAGGCGGCAUUCAGCCGGGAAGUAACGGCGCAGGACGGGCAGCACUCUGGGGCCAGGGGGGGGCAGGCGAAGGGCAGCCAGGAGCUGGGCGGGAGGGCGGGGGGCACGGGAGGCCUCCAACAGCAGGGCGGCCAGGCGGGCGGGAGCGCUGGGCCCCCCCUGGAUGUAAUGCUCCAAGCCGUCCAGCAGCAGCAAGCCGGGGGGCUGGGCUCGGGCUGCCAUUGCCCCCAGCUCCUGGGCAAGGGCUGCCAUGGUGGGGGGGUAACGGAGCUCCAGGCGCUGCGGGAAAGGUGGGAAAAGGGAGGUCAGGCCACACCCCCCACAAGCCACGCCCCCUGUCAUCAGGCCACGCCCCCAAUUCUGGCCCCGCCCACACGCAAUAGCGAACACACCAGAGCCACGCCCCCUUUGUUGCAAGCACCGCCCACUCACGCAGCCCCGCCCCUUUCUGCUAGGCCACGCGCAUCGUGCGUAAUCACGCCCCCACGCACACAAAGCCACGCCCUCACUCAGAUAGCCACGCCCCCAAACCCACAAAGCCACGCCCCCGCACCCCACAAACCACGCCCACGCUGAAAGCCUCGCCCUCCAUUCUCAUAAAGCCACGCCCGCUCAGAAGCCACGCCUCCUCUCACAACCCACACAACCACAAAGCCACACCUCCACACAAAGCCACGCCCCCAUGCCCACAAAGCCACGCCCCCCACAGCAACAAAGCCACGCCCCCACCCAAACGCACGGCCUCAAUCUCCAUAAAGCCACGCCCACUCUCAAAGCCCCACCCCCACGCAAAAGCCACGCCUCCAUCCUCACAAAGCCACGCCCCCCACACCCACAAACCACGCCCCCACGCAAAAGCCACGCCCACAACCGCAAACCACGCCCCUAUCUCAA